UUUUGAUCCCGAUUGCUUCGCUUCCUUUUUUACUCUGAAAAUUCUCCACGUCUUCCAGAGAAUAAUCAAAGGAAAUAGGGAAAUCGGAAUUAGCA
RNAcentral lists this unclassified non-coding RNA (95 nucleotides) under Chryseobacterium gambrini. RNAcentral describes it as "Flavo-1 RNA". The record is from RNAcentral. Lineage: Bacteria; Pseudomonadati; Bacteroidota; Flavobacteriia; Flavobacteriales; Weeksellaceae.